This 253-nucleotide ribosomal RNA is filed under the name uncultured bacterium. Its description in RNAcentral is "partial 16S ribosomal RNA". It matches the Rfam family "Bacterial small subunit ribosomal RNA", at positions 524 to 776 of the family's 1533-position model. The record is from RNAcentral.
UACAGAGGUCCCGAGCGUUGUUCGGAUUCACUGGGCGUAAAGGGUGCGUAGGUGGCGAGGUAAGUCGGAUGUGAAAUCUCCAAGCUUAACUUGGAAAUGGCAUUGGAAACUACCUUGCUUGAGGUUUGGAGGGGGGACUGGAAUUCCCGGUGUAGUGGUGAAAUGCGUAGAUAUCGGGAGGAACACCAGUGGCGAAGGCGGCUUCCUGGCCUGUCCUUGACGCUGAGGCGCGAAAGCUAGGGGAGCAAACGGG